RNAcentral lists this ribosomal RNA (253 nucleotides) under uncultured bacterium. Its description in RNAcentral is "partial 16S ribosomal RNA". It matches the Rfam family "Bacterial small subunit ribosomal RNA", at positions 524 to 776 of the family's 1533-position model. The record is from RNAcentral.
UACGUAGGUGGCAAGCGUUGUUCGGAAUUACUGGGCGUAAAGCGCGUGUAGGCGGCUCUUCAAGUCAGACGUGAAAGCCCCGGGCUUAACUCGGGAACUGCGUUUGAUACUGUCGGGCUAGAGUGCGGAAGAGGCGAGUGGAAUUCCUGGUGUAGCGGUGAAAUGCGCAGAUAUCAGGAGGAACACCAAUUGCGAAGGCAGCUCGCUGGGACGUAACUGACGCUGAGACGCGAAAGCGUGGGGAGCAAACAGG